This 440-nucleotide ribosomal RNA is filed under the name Campsicnemus aeptus. RNAcentral describes it as "partial 16S ribosomal RNA". The record is from RNAcentral. Lineage: Eukaryota; Metazoa; Arthropoda; Insecta; Diptera; Dolichopodidae.
CUGAUAAAUUAUUUAAUGGCCGCAGUAUUUUAACUGUGCAAAGGUAGCAUAAUAAUUAGUCUUUUAAUUGAAGGCUUGUAUGAAUGAUUGGACGAGAUAUAAACUGUCUCAUAAAAAUUUUUUUUAGAACUUAAUUUUUUAGUUAAAAAGCUAAAAUAAAUUUAAAAGACGAGAAGACCCCAUAGAUCUUUAUAUUUUUUUUUUUUUAUUAUUUUUUAGUUUUUUUAUAAAUUAAUAAAUAAAAAUAUUUUGUUGGGGUGACAUUGAAAUUUAAUAAACUUUCAAAAUUUAAUAACAUUGAUUUAUGAAUUUAUGAUCCUUUAUUAUUGAUUAAAAAUUUAAGUUACCUUGGGGAUAACAGCGUAAUUAUUUUGGAGAGUUCAUAUUGAUAAAAUAGAUUGCGACCUCGAUGUUGGAUUAAGAUUAAUUUUGAAUGUAGC